Molecule: RNA transcript, 5482 nt
Organism: Sphaeramia orbicularis (orbiculate cardinalfish)
Lineage: Eukaryota; Metazoa; Chordata; Actinopteri; Kurtiformes; Apogonidae
Gene name: ly6/PLAUR domain-containing protein 6-like
Exons: 6
Source: RefSeq, a predicted model, not a curated record
GUAGCAAACAUCAACAGUAGGAAGCAGGACACACGCUACGAGCUAACCGCGAAAAGUUUGAAUGAAGAUUUCCUAAAGAGGCAGGGCCAGCGCACUGCAUGGGUCAUGUAGACGGAUGUAACCCCCCCAGGUUCUCUCCAAGUAAGCUCUCCUUGACCCAGGCCUACACCUGCACAACACACGGCUGUCAUGUGAUGUGUUUGUUUGUACGAGAGACAAAUACCGGGUCUGGUUGACAGCCAUCAGUUGUUAGGCGCCAUCACCAUGAAAAGAUCCAAGCCCUCAGGUGCGCAGUACCGGAAGCGGAGAAAAGAGGAGGCGAACACGAGAUCCUUUUAUCACGAACAUUUUUUGCAGUUGUCCCAAGGAGCUGCUGCAGAGGGGACUUCUGCUCCCACAUCUACACCACUCUCUGAAGAAUCAGGUGAAGGAACCAGCAGAGCGGGCAUCACAAUUCAACCGCCUCAGGACACCCCAUCAACUGCAACACGUCCAUAUCUACUGGAUUUCUCCAAGGAAGCCCCUCUCGAUCCUGCUGAUUGGCCAAACCUGUCUGAGGUAGUGAGGAUGGAGAUAGCCAGCAGGGGCCCCUCUCUAGUAAAACCAGAUUUUAUCUUCCCAAAAAGAGAAGAUGGGAGAAGUUGCCAUCACCACUACUUCUCUAGACGUUUAGUAAAUGGAGAGAAAAUCAAAAGAAGCUGGUUGGUUUAUUCCAUUAAAAGAAAUAGUUUGUUUUGCUUCUGUUGCAAACUCUUCUCCCUAAAAUCUUUUAAACUGAUCAAUGGUGGGCUUAAUGACUGGAAAAAUUGCAGUGAAUUGCUGAAAUCUCACGAGAACAGCCCAGAACAUUCAAAGAACAUGACACAGUGGAAAGAACUGGAGACCCGCAUUGACAAUUGCCAAACAAUAGACAAAACAGAAAUGUCACUAAUAGAUGCUGAGAGGAAGAGGUGGCGUGAAGUUCUGACCCGAUUGGUGGCCAUCAUUCAGUCACUGGCGGAGCGAAAUAUUACCUUCAGGGGAACUACAGAGACACUUCACCAACCAAAUAAUGGUAACUUUCUUAAGGAGGUAGAGCUCAUGGCCCAGUUCGACCCAGUAAUGAAGGAGCAUGUUGCGAAGGUGGUGAGUGGAGACAUCCAUAUAUCUUACUUGGGAAAAAAUAUUCAAAACGAGCUGAUAGAUUGCAUCGGUGGAAAAAUUGUGGAGUCUAUGGUUGCUGAAAUCAAACAAAGCAAAUACUUUUCAAUCAUUUUAGAUUGCACUACUGAUUUGAAGAAUAAAGAGCAACUGUCUGUCAUAAUUCGUAUUGUUGCUGUUGAGGACACCCCACAAAUAAAGGAGCAUUUUAUAGGAUUCCUUGAGGAGGAAGAGUCCACUGGAGAAAGCCUCUCAACUCUCAUUCUAAAGAGGCUCGAAGAACUAGACAUCCCCUUUGAAGACUGUAGAGGGCAGUUCUAUGAAAAUGGUGCCAAUUUGAAAGGGAAGAGAAAGGGAGUCCAAACCAGACUCCUGAAGAUAAAUCCAAGGGCUUUAUACGUGCCAUGUGGAGCGCACACGGUAAAUCUGAUGGUAGCUGAUGCAGCAAAAAGCUCUACAGAUGCCACUGGCUACUUUGGCUACCUGCAGAAACUUUUCACACUGUUUUCUACCUCCACUCAGAGAUGGUCCAUCUUAAGAAAACAUCUAAACACAACCCUGAGAUCCUGGUCAGAUACGAGAUGGGAGAGUCGAAUCAGCAGUGUGAAGGCUGUGAGAUAUCAGGCAGCAGAGGUCAGAGAUGCACUUUUAGAGGUGAGGGACAAUACCACAGAUCCAGUUAUAAAGACUGAGGCACAGUCUUUAGCUGAAGAGGUCGGAUCAUACCGCUUCUCUAUCUGCACUGUGGUCUGGUAUGACAUCCUGACAAAAAUACAGCAUGUCCACAAAUUGUUACAGUUAGAGACAAUGCAGGUGGAUCUCGCAGUUCACCUCCUGAAAAAAACUGAAGCUUCUCUUCUCAGCUACAGAGACACUGGAUUUGCUUCGGCCCAAGUGUCUGCCAGAGAAAUGUGUGAGGAGAUGAAUGUGGAAGCUUUUCUUAAACCGAACGGACUGCGAACAACGAGGAGGCAGUUUUCCUAUGAGGCCCCUGAUGAGAAACUAACUGAUGCACUGAAAAAAAUGGAAACUUCUUUUUUCAAUGUGGUGGUUGAUGAAUCCAUUGUGUCACUGCAGGAAAGAUCACAGGCCUUGGGCGAGGUGGAGAAAAAGUUCAGUGUGCUUGUCAACUUCCCUGAUCUCCCCAGUGAAGAGCUGAAAAAGCAGUGUGAGAUCCUCAGCAACACCCUGAGCUGUAGUGGGCAGUCAGACCUGGACGGGACGGAACUGGCACUGGAGUUGCAGGCUUUCCCAGAUCUGCCAGAAGAUAAGACGACUACCUUAGAACUUCUCAAAUUCUUACAGGAGAAGAACCUGAAGGAGGUUUAUCCUAAUAUGUGGGUGGCCUUGAGAAUUGCAGUCACACUUCCAGUAACAGCUGCUGCUGUAGAGAGGAGCUUCUCAAAGUUGAAGCUCAAAACAUACCUGAGAUCCACCAUGUCUGAAGAGCGUUUCAAUGGACUUGGUUUAAUAAGCAUAAAUCGUGACGUUUCUAGGCAGGUGUCAAUUGAUGAGACUAUAGAUGCUUUCGCUGCAAAGAAGUCUAGACGUGUACAGUUUUAAUGGAAAGAACUUAAUUCAGUGUAUCUGAAAGUGUGGAUUGUUUGUUUUAUAAAAUUAAACAGUGGUAAUGUUUCAGAUGACUGGUUUCCCUGAAUGCCUGUGGUAUGGAUGGGGUGUGGCAUGUUUGGGGGGGGGGUGUUAGGGUAAAUGCCUAGAGCUGGCUCUGCAUCCAGGUGUAGUCAGAGAAUGCAGCACCAUACAGACAGUGAUGGAGAUGAGCUACAAUGACCUGAACAUCACACAUGGACUAUUAAAAGAAUGCAGUGUUAAUUUCGUCAGACAAGACAAGGCGAAAUAUGUUUGCCAACGACCCUUUUUCCCAUGGUGAAGACAAGAUGAUAACGACACUGCACCGAUGUACUAAAAACACUAAGACUGUGUUAAUGUGCCUUAUUGUUGACGAAUGAAAACAAGACUAAAAUGUUUUACCUGAAAUAAACACUGAACAAAAACUCCCUCCUCGUUUUCAUCUACACAAGAGGAAACACAACACCCCCCUGUCCAGACGAAGACAGUUUCAGUCUCCUGUGUGUACUCAGUGACUUUAGAGAGAGACAGAGACAGGCGUAACUGGGAGCUGAUGGAGAACCUUACUACUGGAUCCGAGGUCUGAGGGGAUCUAAGGCUGUAAACCACCAGCCGGGUCUGUGCCCAGCUUAGAGACACUGCACCCGGCUUUGAGCUGCCAACCAGGGCUGAUGAUAACUGCUCAUGACUGUUUUGUUUAUAGGUGUUUGCUGUGUUUAUGUUUUCACUUAAAAAAAAAAACCUUAAUUCAUAGACACAUUUUUUUCUAGACCUCCAUCUCAUAAUGGAUUUUUCUUAACUAUGGGUCUAUUCUAGUUUUGUGUCCUUAUUUCUACUCAGAACAAAACUGCAUUUGUUCUACUGUAAUCUCAAGCACAGAACUGAACCCAACAUGUAGGAAAUGUAUUUUAGGUCUACAGUAAGUUUAUCCCUUUAAGUUUUUAUUAUAUUUUAACCUAUAUCUGCUCAGCAAGAAGAGCCUGUAGCUGUAAGAGUCGUAUAAUUUAACAGUUGUGUUUUUUUUAAAUUUGGUUGGUGAUUCUGAAUAAAAUUGUCAGAACAAGUGCAUCAUUUUGUAAAUGUGUAUUGAAUCAACGAACCAGACACUUUUGGCAAAGUUGCGUUGAAGAUUUAUUCAAUUCAUUCAAGAUGUUUGAUUUUCCAGAUUAUUAUGACAUUUGAUCAAUAUUUUAGCUGUGAAACACAAUUCAACUGGAAUGGUAAACAAAAAUCAUCCCUGAAAUUAAAAAAAAAUACAAAAAUGUUUUGGCUAAAACUAGACUAAAACACCUUGAGUUCUCGUUUGACUAAAACUAGACUAAAAUGUUGAGACUUUUUGUCCACUAAAACACGAUUAACAAAAAAUGAUAUGUGAAUAACUAAAUAAGACAAAGACUAAUCAGUAGUCAGUAUGGAUCGCCAUCUGCUAUGCAAAAUAUCUUAACCAUCACACUUAUGUUCUCUGUAGGAUGUUUACAGUGUGCUGUUAUUUAUCCUACUUGUAGUUUUGCUGCCUCAGUGGAUGAGAUGAUGGAGAUCGAGGACCACCAUAGAGAACUGAUAACACCUCUGUGCUAAAGCUGCUGGAUUUUCUGCCUGGGUGGAUGAAAUCCUGGAAAUGGAGGACCAUCAAACAGACCUGCUGAAGCUGCUGGGUGAUGACGACGGCAGCGGCUGGCCCUUGACUCAAGUUAUGUUAUUUGUUGCCCCUGUGGGUAAGAAAUAGCAUUUCUUGGGUGUGAAAGGGGGGGUGCAGAAGUGUUUUUUUCACCUGUUUCCUGUCUUUUUCAAUAAAAAAUUUUGUACACCCCCCUGGUUUUCAUGUGAGGGCUCAUUAUGAGUCCCUUGUUUUCUUGCGCCCUUACUGAGCAAGCCCAGGAAUCGAACCACCGGCCAGCCUCACAGUAGUCAGUUGUGUUUGCGCCGCCGACCUUCUGACUGAGCUAUCUGUGAGCUACUGAUGAAGUGUUCGGAACUUGUAUUUAUUGUGUUUUUUUGGACCUGAAAAUGUGUAAAAGCUCAAGUGUUCUCUGUGGGUCUUGAACUAGCUACCUAUGAGCACAGGAGAUGAGUCUUGCACUAGUCUUAACCACUGAGCUAUUCUGUCAGCUGAUGGUACUAAGUUGGAAGUUGUAUUUAUUGUGUUUGUUUCCGCUCCUCUGUUUUUUGGGUGAAAAGCAAGUACCUGCGUGGGACUUGAUCUCACAACCUUGGAAUCUGAAGUGAAAGUGUGCGUUUUGCCUGAUGCUUAGACCACUGAGCUAAACUUGAGGUUAGGAAAUUGGAGUCAAUUUCCAAGUAUAAGAAAUGUAUACAGCUGAAACCCUGAGGAGCGAGAAGGGAUGGAAAUUUUGAAAAAAUAGAUCCCGGUGUGGGAUUUGAACUCACAAUCUCAAAAGUUGUAGGAUUGUGUGACAGUUGUCCUAUUUCUUUUCCACUGUGCUACAGCUGAAUUGUUGAUGUGAGAGGUUUUUUUUUGGUAUUAGAGAUGUAAACUUGAACUGUGAGGACAGACUCUGCUCCAUCUCCAAGUAGGGUCUAGGCCUUUGGCUCGAAGAGGUCAGGAAGGGGAAGUGAACCAGACUGAAAGUCAUGUGAAGUCUGUGAUACAGACAACUCACCACUACACCAGCCUAACCUGCCACGUGACAGAGUCUGGUCGACACCAGCUCUGAAUGGAAAGUGUCCUGACAUUACUUCUGUUGUGAUUUGGUGAUUUAUAAAUAAAAUUGGAUUUGGAUUAUUGAACUGG